CCUACGGGGCGCAGCAGUAGGGAAUCUUUCACAAUGGGCGAAAGCCUGAUGGAGCAACGCCGCGUGCGGGAUGAAGGCCUUCGGGUUGUAAACUGCUUUUAUAAGCGAGGAAUAUGAUGGUAACUUAUGAAUAAGGAUCGGCUAACUACGUGCCAGCAGCCGCGGUCAUACGUAGGAUCCGAGCAUUAUCCGGAGUGACUGGGUGUAAAGAGUUGCGUAGGUGGAAUAAUAAGUAGCUAGUGAAAUCUGGUGGCUCAACCAUUCAGACUAUUAGCUAAACUGUUAAGCUCGAGAACGUUAGGGGUAACUGGAAUUUCUAGUGUAGGAGUGAAAUCCGUAGAUAUUAGAAGGAACACCAAUAGCGUAGGCAGGUUACUGGGACGGUUCUGACACUAAGGCACGAAAGCGUAGGGAGCAAACGGGAUUAGAUACCCUGGUAGUC
Molecule: ribosomal RNA, 442 nt
Filed under: uncultured bacterium
Lineage: Bacteria
Description: partial 16S ribosomal RNA
Rfam family: Bacterial small subunit ribosomal RNA
Source: RNAcentral